AGCGUUUCUCAGCCUUUUGGCUCAAAUCAAGGGUUCUUAUCAGUUUAAUAUCAGAUACGUCCUCUACCCAAGGACAAUAUGUUAAACAUAUUUUGGAAACAGACAGAUGGGAUAGGUGCUUGUUCCAUCCGUUCCCCGCAUCCACCUGGUAUUAUUGCACCUCCAGGAAUGGCCCACCCCAU
This 182-nucleotide small nuclear RNA is filed under the name Castor canadensis (American beaver). Its description in RNAcentral is "U2 spliceosomal RNA (ENSCCNG00000016528.1)". It matches the Rfam family "U2 spliceosomal RNA". Rfam says of the family: U2 is a small nuclear RNA (snRNA) component of the spliceosome (involved in pre-mRNA splicing). Complementary binding between U2 snRNA (in an area lying towards the 5' end but 3' to hairpin I) and the branchpoint sequence (BPS) of the intron results the bulging out of an unpaired adenosine, on the BPS, which initiates a nucleophilic attack at the intronic 5' splice site, thus starting the first of two transesterification reactions that mediate splicing. The record is from Rfam by way of RNAcentral. Lineage: Eukaryota; Metazoa; Chordata; Mammalia; Rodentia; Castoridae.